Long non-coding RNA from Ostrinia nubilalis (European corn borer), 316 nucleotides. RefSeq lists it as uncharacterized. The transcript is spliced from 2 exons. The record is from RefSeq and is a predicted model, not a curated record. NCBI's taxonomy places the organism in Eukaryota, Metazoa, Arthropoda, Insecta, Lepidoptera, Crambidae.
UAUAAGAAUCCCAAGCUUGUAUUCGUUGUUAUUGUAUCAGUAUAAUCAGUAAACAGUAACAAAUCAACAUGAGAGUUUGUAUCAUACUUCUGGUGAUUGCCACUUUAGCAAUAAGUGCUAUGGGCGAGUGUCCCCCAGGAGAAUACAACCCAGGGCCGGACUGCAGCUUUGAGAUUAUCUGCACCCCGCAGCACUCAGCACACUACCGUCCCGAACACUACUGCGAUUGCUGGUGCAACCCUGGCACCGUCAGGGAUGUUGUCACCAAGAAAUGUGUGAAAGAGUGUGCUUACCAUAAAGUAUAAUUUUCAUAGUU